GACGGUAUAGCUUAGUGGUAGAGUGUAUGCUUAGCCUGAAUGAGGUCCUGGAUUCAAUCCCCAGUACCUCCA
Camelus ferus (Wild Bactrian camel) is the source of this 72-nucleotide transfer RNA. It matches the Rfam family "tRNA". From Rfam's summary of the family: Transfer RNA (tRNA) molecules are approximately 80 nucleotides in length. Lineage: Eukaryota; Metazoa; Chordata; Mammalia; Artiodactyla; Camelidae. The record is from Rfam.